AGAGUUUGAUCCUGGCUCACAUUGAACGCUGGCGGCAGGCUUAACACAUGCAAGUCGAGCGGAAACGAUGAUAGCUCGCUAUCAGGCGUCGAGCGGCGGACGGGUGAGUAAUACUUAGGAAUCUACCUAGUAGUGGGGGAUAGCUCGGGGAAACUCGAAUUAAUACCGCAUACGUCCUACGGGAGAAAGGGGGCAACUUGUUGCUCUCGCUAUUAGAUGAGCCUAAGUCGGAUUAGCUAGAUGGUGGGGUAAAGGCCUACCAUGGCGACGAUCUGUAGCUGGUCUGAGAGGAUGAUCAGCCACACCGGGACUGAGACACGGCCCGGACUCCUACGGGAGGCAGCAGUGGGGAAUAUUGGACAAUGGGGGGAACCCUGAUCCAGCCAUGCCGCGUGUGUGAAGAAGGCCUUUUGGUUGUAAAGCACUUUAAGCAGUGAAGAAGACUCUUCGGUUAAUACCCGGGGACGAUGACAUUAGCUGCAGAAUAAGCACCGGCUAACUCUGUGCCAGCAGCCGCGGUAAUU
Molecule: ribosomal RNA, 524 nt
Filed under: uncultured Psychrobacter sp.
Lineage: Bacteria; Pseudomonadati; Pseudomonadota; Gammaproteobacteria; Moraxellales; Moraxellaceae
Description: bacterial SSU rRNA
Rfam family: Bacterial small subunit ribosomal RNA
Source: RNAcentral